RNAcentral lists this unclassified non-coding RNA (197 nucleotides) under uncultured Russulaceae. RNAcentral describes it as "sequence contains ITS1". The record is from RNAcentral. Lineage: Eukaryota; Fungi; Basidiomycota; Agaricomycetes; Russulales; Russulaceae.
UCGUACAAUCGAGGUGCUUGGGGCUGUCGCUGACCUUUAGAAAAAGGUUGUGCACGCCCGGAGCACUCUCUAAUAUAUCCAUCUCACCCCUUUGUGCAUUGCCGCGUGGGUCCAUCCCUUAAAGGGGACCUGCGUUCUAUCAUAAAACUUGACGCAGUGUAGAAUGUUUUUAUUUUUGCGAUCAUACGCAAUCAAUA